This 263-nucleotide ribosomal RNA is filed under the name uncultured archaeon. RNAcentral describes it as "partial 16S ribosomal RNA". It matches the Rfam family "Archaeal small subunit ribosomal RNA", at positions 719 to 982 of the family's 1478-position model. The record is from RNAcentral.
AGACGUCUACAUUAGAUACCCGGUAGUCCCAGCCGUAAACUAUGCGCGUUAGGUGUAUCGGUGACCACGAGUUACCGAGGUGCCGAAGGGAAACCGUGAAACGUGCCGCCUGGGAAGUACGGUCGCAAGGCUGAAACUUAAAGGAAUUGGCGGGGAGCACCACAACAGGUGGAGCCUGCGGUUUAAUUGGACUCAACGCCGGGAAGCUCACCGGAUAGGACAGCAGAAUGAUUGCCGGGCUGAAGACCCUGCAUGACUAGCUG